Molecule: small nucleolar RNA, 107 nt
Organism: Solanum stenotomum
Lineage: Eukaryota; Viridiplantae; Streptophyta; Magnoliopsida; Solanales; Solanaceae
Source: RefSeq, a predicted model, not a curated record
AGCCUAUGAGUUGGGCAUUGAAAUAGGAGUUUCUUGAACCUCAACCAUGUUUCAUGGAUGGGUUCACCCUUUAAUCGCUUAAAACCAUGAAUGUUAUCCCUGAGUUU